This 851-nucleotide ribosomal RNA is filed under the name Ligilactobacillus salivarius. Its description in RNAcentral is "bacterial SSU rRNA". It matches the Rfam family "Bacterial small subunit ribosomal RNA", at positions 49 to 868 of the family's 1533-position model. The record is from RNAcentral. Lineage: Bacteria; Bacillati; Bacillota; Bacilli; Lactobacillales; Lactobacillaceae.
UAAUACAUGCAAGUCGAACGAAACUUUCUUACACCGAAUGCUUGCAUUCACCGUAAGAAGUUGAGUGGCGGACGGGUGAGUAACACGUGGGUAACCUGCCUAAAAGAAGGGGAUAACACUUGGAAACAGGUGCUAAUACCGUAUAUCUCUAAGGAUCGCAUGAUCCUUAGAUGAAAGAUGGUUCUGCUAUCGCUUUUAGAUGGACCCGCGGCGUAUUAACUAGUUGGUGGGGUAACGGCCUACCAAGGUGAUGAUACGUAGCCGAACUGAGAGGUUGAUCGGCCACAUUGGGACUGAGACACGGCCCAAACUCCUACGGGAGGCAGCAGUAGGGAAUCUUCCACAAUGGACGCAAGUCUGAUGGAGCAACGCCGCGUGAGUGAAGAAGGUCUUCGGAUCGUAAAACUCUGUUGUUAGAGAAGAACACGAGUGAGAGUAACUGUUCAUUCGAUGACGGUAUCUAACCAGCAAGUCACGGCUAACUACGUGCCAGCAGCCGCGGUAAUACGUAGGUGGCAAGCGUUGUCCGGAUUUAUUGGGCGUAAAGGGAACGCAGGCGGUCUUUUAAGUCUGAUGUGAAAGCCUUCGGCUUAACCGGAGUAGUGCAUUGGAAACUGGAAGACUUGAGUGCAGAAGAGGAGAGUGGAACUCCAUGUGUAGCGGUGAAAUGCGUAGAUAUAUGGAAGAACACCAGUGGCGAAAGCGGCUCUCUGGUCUGUAACUGACGCUGAGGUUCGAAAGCGUGGGUAGCAAACAGGAUUAGAUACCCUGGUAGUCCACGCCGUAAACGAUGAAUGCUAGGUGUUGGAGGGUUUCCGCCCUUCAGUGCCGCAGCUAACGCAAUAAGCAUA